This is a long non-coding RNA of Scatophagus argus, 763 nucleotides long. RefSeq lists it as uncharacterized. The transcript has 3 exons. The record is from RefSeq and is a predicted model, not a curated record. Lineage: Eukaryota; Metazoa; Chordata; Actinopteri; Scatophagidae.
GGAGGAUGAUGACAGAGAAGACAAGGAGAGGAGAACAGUAUAAACAUCUCAUCGCCGUGGAGAUAUAACUGCAUUCAAACAGCAGCAGAGAGGCUGGACGAUGCUCAGACACACACAUAUGCCGGGCAGAGGCAGAGUGAAAAUAAACAACAGUCAGCAGCACCUGGGAUACAAGUGGCUUCGCACUGCUCUACAGGAGCUAAAGCUGGGCAGACAAAAGAAGAAUUGCAAAAUUCCUCUGCAGGCUUCGACUUUUCAGAAUCAAGUUGAAAUUCGUUUGCUGUUUGAUGUGCAGUUUGAGGGAGGUUGCAGGGCCUUAUUAACUUUCUGACCGAUAUGGUUCUUGGUCGAUUUCUGGCAUGGCAGAAAUUCUGGUUGGUUGUCUUGCAGUUUGAGCAUUUUCUGAUUUCCCACAUGCUGCAAUCAAAACAUUUGUGAAAAACUAUAGGGAGCUUUCAUAUUAUUCCCAUAGCAUUUUACAUGUUGCGACAUGUGGCGCUGCCCUCCCUGUUUAUCAGCACAGUUAACGAUGCGGUCAUCCUGCUCAAAUAACCUUCAUUGGAAUUGUCACUGUACAGAACCGACUGUGGGUUCCCUGCUUACAUAAAGUGUGUGCACCCACAUCAUGAUGAUGCUCAAUAGAUGUGGACAGACUGAGCAUAAAAGUUUCAGGUUCCAGAAUGUCUAGAAACUAGUUUUGUCAGUUAACACAAAAUACAAGACUAAUAAAAAUAAAAAAACUACCCUGUUUGCUACUGGCAUC